AUUCCAGCUCCAAUAGCGUAUAUUAAAGUUGUUGCGGUUAAAAAGCUCGUAGUUGGAUUUCUGCCGAGGAUGACCGGUCCGCCCUGUGGGUGUGCAUCUGGCUCAGCCUUGGCAUCUUCCUGAAGAACGUAGCUGCACUUGACUGUGUGGUGCGGUAUUUAGGACAUUUACUUUGAGGAAAUUAGAGUGUUUCAAGCAAGCGCACGCUUUGAAUACAUUAGCAUGGAAUAAUAAGAUAGGACCUUGGUUCUAUUUUGUUGGUUUCUAGAGCUGAGGUAAUGAUUAAUAGGGAUAGUUGGGGGUAUUCAUAUUUAAUUGUCAGAGGUGAAAUUCUUGGAUUUAUGAAAGAUGAACUUAUGCGAAAGCAUUUACCAAGGAUGUUUUCAUUA
This 389-nucleotide ribosomal RNA is filed under the name Biecheleria sp. RNAcentral's name for it is "partial small subunit ribosomal RNA". It matches the Rfam family "Eukaryotic small subunit ribosomal RNA", at positions 582 to 975 of the family's 1831-position model. Lineage: Eukaryota; Dinophyceae; Suessiales; Biecheleriaceae. The record is from RNAcentral.